UAACGGUAAGUGGACAAGAACAACUUGUGGCUGGGGGUCAGUGCUCCGGGAGCUGGGGAGGAGGGGCUGGACCGGGCUUUCUCUCCCACUGUUUCCUUUCAGCAUUUCUGGCCUUCUGUUCUCACGACCGUCCUGCUACCCGCGUCCAUCCUCCCGAUUGUCCAUGGUGUCUGCUAACAGACCAAAGAUGCCCCCCCUCUACCCUACGCCCGUCAUCUUUGUGAUCCUGCAUUUUCUCUUCAUGCUCCUCCUGCAUUUCCUACCCUUCCUUCUCUUUCCUGUACUUUUGUUACUAGUCUUCCUGCCCCUUCUGGCCCGAGACUCUGAGGAGGAUGAGGAAGCAAAGGAGGAGAACUAGUCUGGAGCGUCUUUAGGUGCAGUUGUUUCCCAAUGGAUGUUUCUAUAUGGGCAUUUAAAUGUCAUCAUUGUAACCUGCCAAUGGAGAUGAAGAAUUCAACUGAAUUAAGACCACCUCAGGCAGAGGGGGUUUAGUUUUAAUAAUGGGUUUUCCUUCAAAUGUUAAUGACAUCACAUUGUUUAUUACAUUGUUGUGUUUCAAAAUGUUCUUAUAUUGGAGAAUGUGGUCAAUUUGGAAACAUUGGUAAAAUUUUUAUAAGCUCUGUUGUUAGAAAAGCAAUCUAGAUGUUGUUAGAUUAAGAAAUGGACUGUAACAAUGUGCUUGAUGCUCUAAAGUACUCUAAUUUAAGAACUUAUACACUUGCACUUAUGCUUAUGAAUAAAGAGAAAUUUUACCUUGACUUGUUUGC
Sarcophilus harrisii (Tasmanian devil) is the source of this 767-nucleotide long non-coding RNA. RefSeq lists it as uncharacterized. The record is from RefSeq and is a predicted model, not a curated record. Lineage: Eukaryota; Metazoa; Chordata; Mammalia; Dasyuromorphia; Dasyuridae. The transcript has 3 exons.